AGGUUUUGGACGAAACGGGAUUUGCGUUUUGGCAAGCGUAAAGGGCAAGAAAGGUACAGACUACAGAUUUGCUGACCCACCUGCCUAGGACACCUAUUCUGCUAUUCUGGAGCGCUCUUUUGUCCAGAGCCUAUACUCUGGUACAGUCUGCUGCUGUUGGAUAUAUGUACGCUAUUCAGGGGUACGACGGGGCCCUGUCCUGUUUUAUGUUUCUGUUAUGUUCUGUAGAGGUCUGUAGAUAUACAUGUGGGUUCUGUAUAUGUUUUGGGUUGCUAUGAUUUGUGAUAGCCUUAUCGGCUUCCAUGUGUUAUAUAUGUUCCUCUAUGACACUAGUAAUGUCGACUGACUUUUAUAUUUAUAUAA
Long non-coding RNA from Lycium barbarum (goji berry), 363 nucleotides. RefSeq lists it as uncharacterized. The record is from RefSeq and is a predicted model, not a curated record. Lineage: Eukaryota; Viridiplantae; Streptophyta; Magnoliopsida; Solanales; Solanaceae. The transcript is spliced from 2 exons.